GAUGAACGCUGGCGGUAUGCUUAACACAUGCAAGUCGAACGGACUCUUCGGAGUUAGUGGCGGACGGGUGAGUAACGCGUGAGAAUCUGGCUUUGGGUUCGGGACAACCACUGGAAACGGUGGCUAAUACCGGAUGUGCCGAGAGGUAAAAGAGAAAUUGCCUGAAGAUGAGCUCGCGUCUGAUUAGCUAGUUGGUGAGGUAAAGGCUCACCAAGGCAGCGAUCAGUAGCUGGUCUGAGAGGAUGACCAGCCACACUGGGACUGAGACACGGCCCAGACGCCUACGGGAGGCAGCAGUGGGGAAUUUUCCGCAAUGGGCGAAAGCCUGACGGAGCAAUAACGCGUGAGGGAAGAAGGCUCUUGGGUUGUAAACCUCUUUUCUUAGGGAAGAACAAAAUGACGGUACCUAAGGAAUCAGCAUCGGCUAACUCCGUG
Molecule: ribosomal RNA, 435 nt
Filed under: uncultured bacterium
Lineage: Bacteria
Description: partial 16S ribosomal RNA
Rfam family: Bacterial small subunit ribosomal RNA
Source: RNAcentral